CAGCCGCCACGGGAAUACGGAGGGAGCUAGCGUUGUUCGGAAUUACUGGGCGUAAAGCGCGCGUAGGCGGUUACUCAAGUCAGAGGUGAAAGCCCGGGGCUCAACCCCGGAACUGCCUUUGAAACUAGGUGACUAGAAUCUUGGAGAGGUCAGUGGAAUUCCGAGUGUAGAGGUGAAAUUCGUAGAUAUUCGGAAGAACACCAGUGGCGAAGGCGACUGACUGGACAAGUAUUGACGCUGAGGUGCGAAAGCGUGGGGAGCAAACAGGAUUAGAUACCCCAGUAGUCCCUGUCUCUUAUAC
RNAcentral lists this ribosomal RNA (301 nucleotides) under uncultured bacterium. RNAcentral's name for it is "partial 16S ribosomal RNA". It matches the Rfam family "Bacterial small subunit ribosomal RNA", at positions 509 to 807 of the family's 1533-position model. The record is from RNAcentral.